Molecule: ribosomal RNA, 478 nt
Filed under: uncultured bacterium
Lineage: Bacteria
Description: partial 16S ribosomal RNA
Rfam family: Bacterial small subunit ribosomal RNA
Source: RNAcentral
GACGAACGCUGGCGGCGUGCUUAACACAUGCAAGUCGAACGGUAAGGCCCUUCGGGGUACACGAGUGGCGAACGGGUGAGUAACACGUGGGUGAUCUGCCCUGCACUUCGGGAUAAGCCUGGGAAACUGGGUCUAAUACCGGAUAGGACCACUGCCUGCAUGGGUGGUGGUGGAAAGCUUUUGCGGUGUGGGAUGGGCCCGCGGCCUAUCAGCUUGUGGGUGGGGUGAUGGCCUACCAAGGCGACGACGGGUAGCCGGCCUGAGAGGGUGACCGGCCACACUGGGACUGAGAUACGGCCCAGACUCCUACGGGAGGCAGCAGUGGGGAAUAUUGCACAAUGGGCGCAAGCCUGACGCAGCGACGCCGCGUGAGGGAUGACGGCCUUCGGGUUGUAAACCUCUUUCAGCACCGACGAAGCGCAAGUGACGGUAGGUGCAGAAGAAGGACCGGCCAACUACGUGCCAGCCGCCGCUGUAA